AGAGUUUGAUCCUGGCUCAGAUUGAACGCUGGCGGCAUGCCUUACACAUGCAAGUCGAACGGCAGCACGGGAGCUUGCUCCUGGUGGCGAGUGGCGAACGGGUGAGUAAUAUAUCGGAACGUGCCCUAGAGUGGGGGAUAACUAGUCGAAAGAUUAGCUAAUACCGCAUACGAUCUACGGAUGAAAGUGGGGGAUCGCAAGACCUCAUGCUCAUGGAGCGGCCGAUAUCUGAUUAGCUAGUUGGUGGGGUAAAAGCUCACCAAGGCGACGAUCAGUAGCUGGUCUGAGAGGACGACCAGCCACACUGGAACUGAGACACGGUCCAGACUCCUACGGGAGGCAGCAGUGGGGAAUUUUGGACAAUGGGCGCAAGCCUGAUCCAGCAAUGCCGCGUGAGUGAAGAAGGCCUUCGGGUUGUAAAGCUCUUUUGUCAGGGAAGAAACGGUCUUGGUUAAUACCUGGGGCUAAUGACGGUACCUGAAGAAUAAGCACCGGCUAACUACGUGCCAGCAGCCGCGGUAAUACGUAGGGUGCAAGCGUUAAUCGGAAUUACUGGGCGUAAAGCGUGCGCAGGCGGUUAUGCAAGACAGAUGUGAAAUCCCCGGGCUCAACCUGGGAAUUGCAUUUGUGACUGUAUGGCUAGAGUGUGUCAGAGGGGGGUAGAAUUCCACGUGUAGCAGUGAAAUGCGUAGAUAUGUGGAGGAAUACCGAUGGCGAAGGCAGCCCCCUGGGAUAACACUGACGCUCAUGCACGAAAGCGUGGGGAGCAAACAGGAUUAGAUACCCUGGUAGUCCACGCCCUAAACGAUGUCUACUAGUUGUCGGGUCUUAAUUGACUUGGUAACGCAGCUAACGCGUGAAGUAGACCGCCUGGGGAGUACGGUCGCAAGAUUAAAACUCAAAGGAAUUGACGGGGACCCGCACAAGCGGUGGAUGAUGUGGAUUAAUUCGAUGCAACGCGAAAAACCUUACCUACCCUUGACAUGUACGGAAUCCUGAAGAGAUUUAGGAGUGCUCGAAAGAGAACCGUAACACAGGUGCUGCAUGGCUGUCGUCAGCUCGUGUCGUGAGAUGUUGGGUUAAGUCCCGCAACGAGCGCAACCCUUGUCAUUAGUUGCUACGAAAGGGCACUCUAAUGAGACUGCCGGUGACAAACCGGAGGAAGGUGGGGAUGACGUCAAGUCCUCAUGGCCCUUAUGGGUAGGGCUUCACACGUCAUACAAUGGUACAUACAGAGGGCCGCCAACCCGCGAGGGGGAGCUAAUCCCAGAAAGUGUAUCGUAGUCCGGAUUGGAGUCUGCAACUCGACUCCAUGAAGUUGGAAUCGCUAGUAAUCGCGGAUCAGCAUGUCGCGGUGAAUACGUUCCCGGGUCUUGUACACACCGCCCGUCACACCAUGGGAGCGGGUUCUGCCAGAAGUAGUUAGCCUAACCGUAAGGAGGGCGAUUACCACGGCAGGGUUCGUGACUGGGGUGAAGUCGUAACAAGGUAGCCGUAUCGGAAGGUGCGGCUG
Molecule: ribosomal RNA, 1513 nt
Filed under: Herbaspirillum lusitanum P6-12
Lineage: Bacteria; Pseudomonadati; Pseudomonadota; Betaproteobacteria; Burkholderiales; Oxalobacteraceae
Description: bacterial SSU rRNA
Rfam family: Bacterial small subunit ribosomal RNA
Source: RNAcentral